GAUGAACGCUAGCGGCAGGCCUAACACAUGCAAGUCGAGGGGUAGAGUUCUUCGGGACUUGAGACCGGGCGCACGGGUGCGUAACGCGUAUGCAAUCUACCUUAUACAGGGGAAUAGCCCAGAGAAAUUUGGAUUAAUGCCCCAUAGUAUUAUUGAAUGGCAUCAUUUGAUAAUUAAAGUUCCAACGGUAUAAGAUGAGCAUGCGUCCCAUUAGUUAGUUGGUAAGGUAACGGCUUACCAAGACAAUGAUGGGUAGGGGUCCUGAGAGGGAGAUCCCCCACACUGGUACUGAGACACGGACCAGACUCCUACGGGAGGCAGCAGUGAGGAAUAUUGGUCAAUGGGCGCAAGCCUGAACCAGCCAUGCCGCGUGCAGGAAGAC
RNAcentral lists this ribosomal RNA (382 nucleotides) under uncultured bacterium. Its description in RNAcentral is "bacterial SSU rRNA". It matches the Rfam family "Bacterial small subunit ribosomal RNA", at positions 28 to 412 of the family's 1533-position model. The record is from RNAcentral.